UGGGGAAUUUUGGACAAUGGGCGAAAGCCUGAUCCAGCAAUGCCGCGUGUGUGAAGAAGGCCUUCGGGUUGUAAAGCACUUUUGUCCGGAAAGAAAUGGCUCUGGUUAAUACCUGGGGUCGAUGACGGUACCGGAAGAAUAAGGACCGGCUAACUACGUGCCAGCAGCCGCGGUAAUACGUAGGGUCCAAGCGUUAAUCGGAAUUACUGGGCGUAAAGCGUGCGCAGGCGGUUGUGCAAGACCGAUGUGAAAUCCCCGAGCUUAACUUUGGAAUUGCAUUGGUGACUGCACGGCUAGAGUGUGUCAGAGGAGGGUAGAAUUCUACGUGUAGCAGUGAAAUGCGUAGAGAUGUGGAGGAAUACCGAUGGCGAAGGCAGCCCCCUGGGAUAACACUGACGAACAUGCACGAAAGCGUGGGGAGCAAACAGG
Molecule: ribosomal RNA, 429 nt
Filed under: Bacillota bacterium
Lineage: Bacteria; Bacillati; Bacillota
Description: Firmicutes bacterium partial 16S ribosomal RNA
Rfam family: Bacterial small subunit ribosomal RNA
Source: RNAcentral